RNA transcript from Dermacentor albipictus, 1784 nucleotides. RefSeq lists it as uncharacterized. The record is from RefSeq and is a predicted model, not a curated record. NCBI's taxonomy places the organism in Eukaryota, Metazoa, Arthropoda, Arachnida, Ixodida, Ixodidae.
CGGUGCGCGGCGCCUUUGUGUCGCGCUUCGCCGACGCUCGCGCGCCAGCACGUGUGGUUCCUGCGCAUACGCGCCUCGGGUGGCGUCCCCGCUGACUAUUGCGGCAUGGCCCUGCUUCGCACCUGUUGCUGCUGGCUCUCUCUGCGCAGGGGAAGCUUCGCCUGCGGCAUCUACACGCUUAUUUUCUACACCAUGCUAGUUGCAACGGGUGCAUCUCACCUCAGCUCUACGUUUCACUCAACAGUGGGCUUCACGCUGAUUCUCUUGCUGCUUAUUCUGUCCAGCUUUUGCAUCGUAUUCUCCGUGGUUCUGCUCUUGGGCCUCUUUUCCGACAAUCGCCUCCUGUUGCUUCCGUGGCUCGCCUUCGUGUCCAUGACGACCGUACUGGACGUCGCGCUGUCGCUGUACUUCAUCACGGAUCUGAAAGUCGACGGUUUUGUGAUCGCCAUGUACGUUGUAGACUACACCUUGUGCUCAAUAAAUAUCUACUGCAUAAUGUGCGUGGUGUCCCAGUACCAAGUGUACUACGUCAGAGGCCACGUCACGGAGCAGAUAAGUCGGCGGGCAUCUCUGCCCGUGGUGACGACCCAGAAUAGGGACGACGGCGCCGACCAAAGCGGUGAUCGGCCCGCCUUCGGCUGCAUCAGUUCGUGGUACAUGCGGUGGCUGUCUCGCAAGACAGUUUUGUCACGUAGUGCUGACACCGUACUGCCGUGUCGCGUCAUCGUUCCCGCAGACACGUCCUUCUCGGCUGAUGUAGCUGCAGCAGCAACGGCGCUUGCCGCCACAGGCAGGGACGCUGACGAAGUAACUAGCAACGGGGGAUCAAACGUCCUAGCCCUCGAGUCUCCCUUUGCCAGAGGCCGUGACGCCGAGGAGUUGUCCACAGGCCGGCAGCUUUUCACGGAAGAGACGUCCCUAGUGCCCUACAUCGAACAGAGCGUAGUGCCACCUCCAAGUUGCGAAGGGCUGGAAGACUUGAGCGUCGAACUGGAGCUGCAGCGCGAAGCAGUGAGCGCCAUCAAAGGACUACCAGACCACGACGGUGGACGGCUGUCCGUCGGGCAUAAUGCUGGGCGUUUCUCUGCCGUUGUGCCGAGUGGAAAAGGAAGGCCGCAAAGAGCCACGAGAAUUUCGAUAAGACCGUGGAAAACCUUCUCGGGACAGCCUGAUGAUCGGGGCUAACAUCAAGGACAAAACAAGAGAUGUGCUAUGUAGCUGGGACGGCAGUUUCCUAAAAACAUCUUCCACGAGGAAAAGUUGCAGCCUACUCCAUCCUGCGCCGUUACUGAGAGAAGCCGCGGCAGAGGAUGUGCCGUGAGUGCCACCGGUGCUCUACCAGCACAACAGGUGCUGCCGUCGUGAUGACCAUACAACGGGCGCUGUACAACAUUGCUUCACCAAGUUCACAACCAAGUUCAUGCACGCGCAUGAUGUCAGUGGACAACAGGCAUCAUAUCUGCGACCAAUAAACUACAUAUUGACAAAAUCGGUAAACUGGGAAUACUCAUAUUACAAUGAAACAUCUCGAAUUUUAAAGAUAACCUGCUUGUGUCCAAAUUUUACCAUCGUGUGGCUGUGGUGAAAAGGAUGGAAAUCAUCUUCCCAACUCGCGCACCUAAGUUCUGACGCUAUCAUCAUGACACCGUCUGACGUGGUCAUCGUCAUCAUCAUCACUCCUUCAACACCACUUACGUACAUGUACGCAGAUAUUCAAAUUUACGUACACAUUUGAAAUUUGUUUCUGCGCUCUCCUACAGAUUAGAACGAGCGUCAUUGCGAUA